This 443-nucleotide ribosomal RNA is filed under the name uncultured bacterium. RNAcentral's name for it is "partial 16S ribosomal RNA". It matches the Rfam family "Bacterial small subunit ribosomal RNA", at positions 338 to 795 of the family's 1533-position model. The record is from RNAcentral.
CCUACGGGAGGCAGCAGUGGGGAAUAUUGGGCAAUGGGCGCAAGCCUGACCCAGCAACGCCGCGUGAAGGAAGAAGGCUUUCGGGUUGUAAACUUCUUUUCUCAGGGACGAAGAAAGCGACGGUACCUGAGGAAUAAGCCACGGCUAACUACGUGGCAGCAGCCGCGGUAAUACGUAGGUGGCAAGCGUUAUCCGGAUUUCUGGGGUGUAAAGGCGGUGUAGGCGGGAGCGCAAGUCAGAUGUGAAAACUCAGGGCGCAACCUGGGGCCUGCAUUUGAAACUGUGUUUCUGGAGUGCUGGAGAGGCGAUCGGAAUUCCGAGUGUAGCGGUGAAAUGCGUAGAGAUACGGAGGAACACCAGUGGCGAAGGCGAAUUGCUGGACAGUAACUGACGCUGAGGCGCGAAAGCGUGGGGAGCAAACAGGAUUAGAUACCCGAGUAGUC